AGGAAUAAAGCAAAGUCAGUGCUUGUGAUGUACUUUGUUUACUUGAAUGGAUCAGCCAUACUGCCAAAUGACAUUAGCAGAAUAAUCCAAAAUGAUGUUCAAACUCAGGUGAUGCUGUCAAAUUUGGGGCUGCUAUUGAUUGAUAUUCCCACAACACCUGAGGAUAACACGCUGACAAUUGUGAUCAUCGGCUUAUCUGUUGCAUUCAUCAUUGUCUUUGUUGUGAUGACUACUAUUCUUGUCUGUGAA
This is a long non-coding RNA of Protopterus annectens (West African lungfish), 249 nucleotides long. RefSeq lists it as uncharacterized. The record is from RefSeq and is a predicted model, not a curated record. The transcript has 3 exons. Lineage: Eukaryota; Metazoa; Chordata; Ceratodontiformes; Protopteridae.